Molecule: ribosomal RNA, 579 nt
Filed under: uncultured bacterium
Lineage: Bacteria
Description: partial 16S ribosomal RNA
Rfam family: Bacterial small subunit ribosomal RNA
Source: RNAcentral
UGGGGAAUUUUGGACAAUGGGCGAAAGCCUGAUCCAGCAAUGCCGCGUGUGUGAAGAAGGCCUUCGGGUUGUAAAGCACUUUUGUCCGGAAAGAAAUCCUCUGGGUUAAUACCUCGGGGGGAUGACGGUACCGGAAGAAUAAGCACCGGCUAACUACGUGCCAGCAGCCGCGGUAAUACGUAGGGUGCAAGCGUUAAUCGGAAUUACUGGGCGUAAAGCGUGCGCAGGCGGUUUUGUAAGACGGAUGUGAAAUCCCCGGGCUUAACCUGGGAACUGCAUUCGUGACUGCAAGGCUAGAGUAUGGCAGAGGGGGGUAGAAUUCCACGUGUAGCAGUGAAAUGCGUAGAGAUGUGGAGGAAUACCGAUGGCGAAGGCAGCCCCCUGGGCCAAUACUGACGCUCAUGCACGAAAGCGUGGGGAGCAAACAGGAUUAGAUACCCUGGUAGUCCACGCCCUAAAACGAUGUCAACUAGUUGUUGGGGAUUCAUUUCCUUAGUAACGUAGCUAACGCGUGAAGUUGACCGCCUGGGGAGUACGGUCGCAAGAUUAAAACUCAAAUGAAUUGACGGGGUCAUAGCU